AUGGCGCUGCGUACCCUGAUGGCGAGGGUGCGGACUUCCGCCCCUGCGCUCCACCUCCGGACGCCAGCCCUCGGCAUCUCCCAUCUGCCCGGCGGCCGCCCCAACUUCCACUCCGCCGCCGCCCCCCGCCUCUGCCCGCCGGCCGGCGGCCGUCCCUGCCUCGUCUCCACAAGAUUCCUGCGCACAAGAAUUAACUUGGAAUCAGCUAGCAAAGAGGAGCUCGAACGUGAGGCAACCUUCUUAAGGGAACAGAUCAAUGAGUUUGUGGACCGUAUUCAGAAGGAGAAGGAGAGAUCUGAUCUAAUCAAGAAGGAUCUUUGGGCUUCUCUGAAGCGUAUGGCCUGUUGUGCUGCUGUGGUGAAAGUCAUAACGCUUUUCAUUCCUUAUAAACUAGCGGAAGAAGAUGAGGUGAUGGAUAUGAACUAG
RNAcentral lists this ribosomal RNA (426 nucleotides) under Triticum aestivum (bread wheat). RNAcentral's name for it is "partial small subunit ribosomal RNA". The record is from RNAcentral. Lineage: Eukaryota; Viridiplantae; Streptophyta; Magnoliopsida; Poales; Poaceae.